RNAcentral lists this long non-coding RNA (553 nucleotides) under Homo sapiens (human). Its description in RNAcentral is "smooth muscle induced lncRNA, enhancer of proliferation". Lineage: Eukaryota; Metazoa; Chordata; Mammalia; Primates; Hominidae. The record is from RNAcentral.
GCUGCAAACAUUGGGAUCAGCCGUGACUAUCCCAUAACAUAAUAUUUCUGAUUUCAUUCUUUUCCUUUCUCCUACCAAUUUAAUCUGCAAUCACUUCAAGAGAAGUCUGUUUAAAGGAUAUUCACAUUCUGUUCACAGAGUUUGAGAGAAACUGUAUUCAAGUUGCUGAAACCAAGAAGCUACACUCACGAGUCUCACCUAAACUCGAAUCUGAUUUAGAUGACAUCAUCCUGGACUUUGAGUUGAUGAAACCUUGGAGGUCUUGGGAGUAAAGCAAGUGUGAUUUGCAUAUGAUGGAUAUGAAUUGUAAUGGCCAGAGCAUGGCUGUGAGAUGAAAACUCCCAUUUUAGGGAACCAAGACUGAAUUCCAUAAUUUACAUGGAUGUUUGGAAGGUGUCUGCAACUUAAUCUGUGUUCGUUUCUGAGAUGUUGGGCAACUCCUUCUUGGAAGAUGUGGUAAUGGUCUCUUCGAAAAGAAAAUAAUCAUCUGAGUUUUGGCCAAAAUAGUUGAUCGGAUUACCUAUGAAAAUGACUCUCACCCAACUACAAGAAU